UGGGGAANAUUGCACAAUGGGCGAAAGCCUGAUGCAGCGACGCCGCGUGAGGGAUGACGGCCUUCGGGUUGUAAACCUCUUUCGCAGGGAAGAAGCGAAAGUGACGGUACCUGCAGAAGAAGCGCCGGCUAACUACGUGCCAGCAGCCGCGGUAAUACGUAGGGCGCAAGCGUUGUCCGGAAUUAUUGGGCGUAAAGAGCUCGUAGGCGGUUAGUCGCGUCUGCUGUGAAAACUCGAGGCUCAACCUCGGGCUUGCAGUGGGUACGGGCUGACUAGAUGCGGUAGGGGUGACUGGAAUUCCUGGUGUAGCGGUGGAAUGCGCAGAUAUCAGGAGGAACACCGAUGGCGAAGGCAGGUCACUGGGCCGCAACUGACGCUGAGGAGCGAAAGCAUGGGGA
RNAcentral lists this ribosomal RNA (398 nucleotides) under uncultured bacterium. RNAcentral's name for it is "partial 16S ribosomal RNA". It matches the Rfam family "Bacterial small subunit ribosomal RNA", at positions 355 to 767 of the family's 1533-position model. The record is from RNAcentral.